Molecule: ribosomal RNA, 253 nt
Filed under: uncultured bacterium
Lineage: Bacteria
Description: partial 16S ribosomal RNA
Rfam family: Bacterial small subunit ribosomal RNA
Source: RNAcentral
UACGUAGGUGGCAAGCGUUGUCCGGAUUUACUGGGCGUAAAGAGCGCGUAGGCGGUUGUUUAAGUCGAAUGUGAAAGCCCCCGGCUCAACUGGGGAGGGUCAUUCGAUACUGAUCGACUUGAAGGCAGGAGAGGGAAGUGGAAUUCCGGGUGUAGUGGUGAGAUGCGUAGAUAUCCGGAGGAACACCAGUGGCGAAGGCGACUUCCUGGCCUGUUCUUGACGCUGAGGCGCGAAAGCUGGGGGAGCAAACGGG